AAGUCGUAACACGGUUUCCGUAGGUGAACCUGCGGAAGGAUCAUUACAGAGUUCAUGCCCUUCGGGGUAGAUCUCCCACCCUUGUGUAUCAUUAUAGAAUGUUGCUUUGGCGGGGCUGCGUGCCUAGCAUGCCUCGAUUCGCGUCGCAGGCCGGCCCGCCCAGGCAGGAGACCCCCUAAACUCUGAAUGUUAGUGUCGUCUGAGUACUAUUAAAUAGUUAAAA
This 223-nucleotide unclassified non-coding RNA is filed under the name plant metagenome. RNAcentral's name for it is "partial contains small subunit ribosomal RNA and internal transcribed spacer 1". The stretch from base 1 to 46 matches the Rfam family "Eukaryotic small subunit ribosomal RNA", at positions 1786 to 1831 of the family's 1831-position model. The record is from RNAcentral.